RNAcentral lists this ribosomal RNA (253 nucleotides) under uncultured bacterium. RNAcentral's name for it is "partial 16S ribosomal RNA". It matches the Rfam family "Bacterial small subunit ribosomal RNA", at positions 524 to 776 of the family's 1533-position model. The record is from RNAcentral.
UACGUAGGGUGCGAGCGUUAAUCGGAAUUACUGGGCGUAAAGCGUGCGCAGGCGGUUCGUUGUGUCGGUGGUGAAAGCCCCGGGCUUAACCUGGGAAUGGCCAUGGAAACUGGCGAACUGGAGUGUGGCAGAGGGGGGUGGAAUUCCGCGUGUAGCAGUGAAAUGCGUAGAGAUGCGGAGGAACACCGAUGGCGAAGGCAGCCCCCUGGGCUAGCACUGACGCCCAGGCACGAAAGCGUGGGGAGCAAACAGG